GUAGUCCACGCCGUAAACGAUGGAUACUAGCUGUUGGAGGUAUCGACCCCUUCAGUAGCGAAGCUAACGCGUUAAGUAUCCCGCCUGUGGAGUACGGUCGCAAGACUAAAACAUAAAGGAAUUGACGGGGACCCGCACAAGCGGUGGAUCGUGUUCUUUAAUUCGAUGAUAAACGAAGAACCUUACCAGGGUUUGACAUCCUUGGAAUUUCUGUGAAAGCAGAGAGUGCUUUAUUGAGCCAAGUGACAGGUGCUGCAUGGCCGUCGUCAGCUCGUGUCGUGAGAUGUUUGGUUAAGUCCAUCAACGAGCGCAACCCUUGUGAAUAGUUGUAUUUUUCUAUUCAGACUGCCCCGGUAACGGGGAGGAAGGAGGGGAUGAUGUCAGGUCAGUAUUGCCCUUACACCCUGGGCUAGAAACACGAUACAAUGGUUAGUACAAUGCGCAGCAAAACCGCGAGGUGGAGCAAAUCGCAUCAAAGCUAAUCUCAGUUCGGAUAAGAGGCUGAAACUCGCCUCUUUGAAGUCGGAAUCGCUAGUAAUCGCAGAUCAGCAAGCUGCGGUGAAUACGUUCCCGGGUCUUGUACACACCGCCCGUCAAACCAUGAAAGUCACCAACACCCGAAGUCCGAUUCGUCGGCCUAAGGUGGGGGGGAUGAUUGGGGUU
RNAcentral lists this ribosomal RNA (663 nucleotides) under uncultured bacterium. RNAcentral's name for it is "bacterial SSU rRNA". It matches the Rfam family "Bacterial small subunit ribosomal RNA", at positions 790 to 1482 of the family's 1533-position model. The record is from RNAcentral.